CCAUAGACUUUUCUCGGCAGAUUUGGAGUCUUGGGGCUUGAACGUUCUUUUGGAUGGAGUUUCUAAUUGCAUUUGAUUUUGGAUGAGGAAGCUCAUGGUUGAUUUCUUUUGCUGGUGCUCAUGGUGAUGUAAUUUGAAAUUGUUAAUUUCAUUGGCAUAUGAUGUUGACGGUGAUGUGAUUGUUGAAUGGGAGAAUAACAUUUCCUUGCCUUUAUUUUCCUUGCCCUUUAUUUUUCUUAAUCUUUGGAUGAGUGCUGCCACAUUUCUUUUAAGCUUUCUUUGAUUGAAGUUAUGAUUAGAUAAAACGGUGUGUUGAGUUACGGCUGGAAGAGAUUUGGAUUUUCACACAGCUGUCUGGGUAUAGAUGAAGUUCAUGCACAAGCUCCUUUCAAUUUGUUAAGGCUGAAUACUAUCUUUUUGGUGAGAUUCCAGCUGCUACCAUUAUAUGUUAUUUUGGCUUGUGCAACGUAUUAAAAAAAUAAGCUAGCUGGAACAUAUAUUGGAAGGUGAGCUCUCGGCAAUUGGAAAAAUGAUGGAUGCAGCAACGUUCUAAAAAGGUAGUAAGCUGGUUCACGGGUUUGGAUGCAACGUGGUGAUUUUAAUUGUGAUUUAUUUUGAAGAUGCGAAUUCCAAUUAGGAAGGUGCACAUGGUUUCGGCUGAUGGUGGAAUUUUAUGAAGAAUAUUAAUUUUUCCAUUAAAAGCUUGUAUUAUUCUUGCUGAAGCAGAGAAAACGAUGAUUCAAUAUGGGUGAAGUGACAGCCUAAUGCAAGGAAAUUUUAAGAGGAGAAGCACGGAGAUUUUAAUUUGGAGAUGAAGCAAGUUCUUUUCUUUUUCUUUGGUGAAGCACGUUAUAUUCCACCCUAGGAAAAUGGAUAUGGAAGGUUACGGAUGAAAGGGAAUUUUGAGAAGUGUGUUGUCACGGCCUGCAUCAAUUGGGUCCAAGGGAGAUGGGUUUCAUGAUUUUACAAUUUUAUUUAACUUAUGCAUUGUUGAUUUAUGUGCUGCUUUCAAUUGCUUCCAAGUCUUUUGCAUUGAAUAUUUCAUUUCCAAGCUGCAUCAUGUAUUCGGUUACUAUACGCGC
Molecule: long non-coding RNA, 1082 nt
Filed under: Vigna radiata
Lineage: Eukaryota; Viridiplantae; Streptophyta; Magnoliopsida; Fabales; Fabaceae
Description: long non-coding RNA (VRAD_LNC005259)
Source: RNAcentral